This is a long non-coding RNA of Epinephelus moara (kelp grouper), 3645 nucleotides long. RefSeq lists it as uncharacterized. The transcript has 3 exons. The record is from RefSeq and is a predicted model, not a curated record. NCBI's taxonomy places the organism in Eukaryota, Metazoa, Chordata, Actinopteri, Perciformes, Serranidae.
GGCGGACCUACCAACUGGAAAGAGUGAGCGUUUUACAGCAGAGGAGACGGAUCUCCUCGUGCGGGAGGUGAAGGCCCGUCAGAACCAGAUCUACGGGGACAGCAGACAGGCACCCAAGCUCCCCGAGGAAGACGUUGUGAAGUCUCCCCAGCAGUGGUCCCAGCAAAGGCCCCACACAGGCUGCCGAUGAGAACAAGAGCUGGUGCUUUAAAAGAAGCUUCACUACAACACGGCACACCUCCCUCAGAUUAUUGCUGGAGGACUCUCGGGUGAAGUUUGAAACCAAACCCACCUGAGAUAUGUUGCAUUACAGGCAACUGUUGGUAUACGGGCAAGCAAAGCUUAUAAAUCCAAACACAUCUUACUGCUGUUUGUUUCUGUAUUAAGUAAAUCUUAUACCAGCAUUAUAUCAUAUUGUUAUGAUCAUACUUGUUUUUACUGCUGAACAUUUGUCAAAGGAUGCAGUAUUGUUUUAAAUAUCUGAGGUGUGUUUUAUACCCUCCAGCCAAUGCUUUUCUUUUUAGCACACAAUGAAAAUCAACUUGCAGAGAUUUUAAACUUGCUUGACUUCAGUGAUCCAUCACAGUGAACAUCAUAUCUGCUUUUAUUGUCGUCAAAAACACAUCAUUUUUAUCAUGUGGUGAUAUAGUUCUAAGGGUAGAUUGAUUUGGAAAAUGUGCAUCAUGUUACCACGCAGUCAUAACAACGUUCUGACAGCAGGCAGUCGUGAUGUCUGCUGUGAAUGAUUACCGAACUCAAGCAAGUUUCUUUGCAAGUUAAUUUUUACAGUCCAUUUAAAUGAAGUGAAACCAGCCUGGAAGGUAAAUCAAUCUGAAAAGUUAUGUGAGAAAUGGAUGUUUUUUGAGAUUUGUAAUAAUUGGACUAAAGCAUCCAGAAACACUGCUCCUUAAAGGAGGAUUUUUUUUAAGUGGGGUUGUACAGGGUACUUAUCCAUUGUUGGUGUGUUACAUACAGUAAAUGUUAGUCAGCACGCCCCUAGUUUGGAGAAGCAGGCUGGAGUGCCGACAUGUGACUUAAGCAAUGUACUGCUGUGGAUGGGGUCAGCAACAAAACGUAUUUUAGCCACCUAAAAAAGUUUAAGUGUGCGCUAUAUUAAGAGUAAUUUCAGCACUUUACCUUUCCUUUAGAUAAUCUGUUACGACGGGGGAGCCGUUGACGGCUUCAGUUCCCAUUUAUGUUGUCGUCAAAGCCACCCGACUCCAAACAAUAAUUUUAGCUUCCUGAACACAGGAGCUGCUGGUCUAUUGCUGCUUCAGUCAGUUAGUUAGUUUGUGUUAUUGUGUGACUUUAAUGAAUCUUGAACUGAACACCAGAGUCACACAAUAACACAAGUACACUAACUGAUGGAGGCAGUGGUUCCUGUGUUCAACAAUAUUAAGUUUUUCUGAUUGGAGUCUGGCUUUGAAGAGAGUGAUAUAAUGGCUUCAUUUUCCAGUUGGAAAUCACUGUCUGACAUUAAGGUAAAUCAGUGAAAAUACUGUCAAUACAGUGUGCACUUUAACUGAUAUUGGUUAGUUUCCAUGUUGGGCUCCAGCCUGUUUGUCCAGUUGGGAGCACGCCGACUAGUGUGUGCUGGUGUUAUGUGCAAUACAUGAAUGGCUGAUGUGCAAUACUGUUAUGUUAAGUAUGUGGGGUUUUUGUUUGUUUGUUUGUUUGUGUUUAUGGUGUAUACUUUUCAUUUUCUCUGGACUAUAAUUGUAAGGCAGCAACACUUGUGCAGCUCCUGAGUCUAAGACGAAUUUCCCUACAGAGACAAUAAAGUAUACUGUAUCGUAUCAGUCGUGCCGUAUUGAAGCAUAUUGUACCCUACCCUACCAUACUGUCUAUGGAUCAGUACCCCAUACAACCCCACCUCAAAAAAGCUCAACUAUCCCUUUAAGUAGAAAACCUGAGCUCAAACACAUUUCUUAUCAUCAUCGAUUAAUGAAUUAAUUUAUGAUUAAGUAUGAUUUGUCUCUUACAAAAAAAACAGAACAUGUGAAAUUCAUGUUUUCAUGUGUUGAAAUUUUACACAUCAGAAAGUCUUGUAGAUAUUGAUGAAAAAUUGGACUGCAAAAGAACCAAUAAGUCCUUCAAUUUAUUGUGUGUACACUCAGGUCUGUACUAUUAACGGAUAAAAGUCAUUUUAGGAUGGAUUUAACAUAAUGUAAUGAAAUGAAAUGAAAACGAGAUAUUACUCUUAAAAUAUGGUAAAAACUGCAUGUGCUUAUGAGAAUUAAUUACAGGACAAAUACUGUUUUACACAUUAUAAAAUGUGUUUUUUUUUCCCCCCCAUGAAAUCAGAUAUCAGACUGACCAUUUGCACUACAUCUUUAGACAUUAGAUUUUACCCUUAGUGGAUUUUUUUUUUUUUUUUUUACUUUUUAAAAAAUCUGAAUGGCAGCCACCUUUGUCACCCAUAUGAAGAUCUGUCACUGGGUUCUUUGCAAACAAGAGUUCAUGUGUCAAAUGUAAUUGUAUUUUAACAAAAUGUCAUGAAAUGUAGUAUUUCACAUAGAAAAAUGAAUUCAUUGCACCACAGAUGUUGUUUUACACGUCAUGAACUGUGUUUCUAAUUGAAUACUUUCCUAUGAAAUGCAACAAAUAUCAAGCAAAACUUAUUUUACAUGAUAUAGGUACAUGUGAUUUUCAGAUUUCAUGUAUAAACAACAUCAUAUCUAAAGGGUUAUUUUUUUUUACAUGAAAUCUGAAUAUUACAUUUAGGCCUACCUAUAACGUAGUGUGGUGUUUGCAGUGCCGGACCUCGCACAUUCAGCACGCUGGGCAAGCUUCAAUCUUUGUCUUAUUCUCCUUUUGUUGUUGUUGUUGUUUGUACUGUUUGCACAUACACGCCAUUACAACAUACCCAUCAAUGCAAAAUAAAUAUAUAAAAUAAAAAUUAAUCAAAGGGGAAAAUAAAAUUACAAAUAAAAAUUAUAUAGGUUCAGGCAUAAUUAGACUCAUAACAGGUCUCCAUUGUUUAUCGAAUGUGACUUUCUACAAGUGUAAAUAAUGAGUGAUCUUUUCCAUACAGUACAAUUCCUGUAAUUUUUGUAACCAGAUUGCAGUAGAAGGGGGUCUGGAUCCAGUUUUACACAUUAUGAACUGUGUUUCACUGUUUUAUAAACAGCCUCACAUGUAGCUGUUGUUUUCAGUUUUGAAAUCUAAAAAUCACAUGUACUUAAAACAUGAUAUUAUGAUAUAACAAGACAUGAUAUUAUUACAUUUACAAUGUUAUUGUACUGUACUGUAACUAAUUACUUUCAAAUGAAGGUAACCAGUAAUAUGUAACAUAUUAUAUUUUGAGAGUAACUUGCCCAACACUGGGUAUGGUGUAUGUGAAAUACUUGCGGUUACUAUUUUAAGUGUCUAUAGUGUUUAUCGACUUUUACUUUGUUUUCAUUCAUUUUUAAUAUAUCGGAUGCUCCUGUAUCAUACACCAGUCUGGUUUUAAUGUCACUGUACAACACUUCAGUUUCCCUGUGUUAUUGUAUCUUAUAAUAUACCACAUGUACUAUUCUGAGGGUUUUUCACAUGUGAAUACAUGCAAUACAUUUACAUAUUAAAAACAUGUUUAUAUGUCUAAAGAAACCUAAUUAAUCGAUAAGUAAGAAGAUGAAUAUUUCCAAUAACUUUUCUUUAAGA